GGCCCGGUAGCUCAGUUGGUAGAGCAGAGGACUGAAAAUCCUUGUGUCGGUGGUUCGAUUCCGCCCCAGGCCACCA
This 76-nucleotide transfer RNA is filed under the name Rhodoferax sp. Its description in RNAcentral is "tRNA-Phe". It matches the Rfam family "tRNA". Rfam says of the family: Transfer RNA (tRNA) molecules are approximately 80 nucleotides in length. Their secondary structure includes four short double-helical elements and three loops (D, anti-codon, and T loops). Further hydrogen bonds mediate the characteristic L-shaped molecular structure. tRNAs have two regions of fundamental functional importance: the anti-codon, which is responsible for specific mRNA codon recognition, and the 3' end, to which the tRNAs corresponding amino acid is attached (by aminoacyl-tRNA synthetases). tRNAs cope with the degeneracy of the genetic code in two manners: having more than one tRNA (with a specific anti-codon) for a particular amino acid; and 'wobble' base-pairing, i.e. permitting non-standard base-pairing at the 3rd anti-codon position. The record is from RNAcentral. Lineage: Bacteria; Pseudomonadati; Pseudomonadota; Betaproteobacteria; Burkholderiales; Comamonadaceae. RNAcentral also lists the same sequence under 10 other names.